CCUACGGGAGGCAGCAGUGGGGAAUAUUGGGCAAUGGAGGAAACUCUGACCCAGCGACGCCGCGUGCGGGAUGAGGGCCUUCGGGUUGUAAACCGCUUUCAGCAGGGAAGAAGCGAAAGUGACGGUACCUGCAGAAGAAGCACCGGCUAACUAUGUGUCAGCAGCCGCGGUAAUACAUAGGGUGCAAGCGUUGUCCGGAAUUAUUGGGCGUAAAGAGCUCGUAGGUGGUUCGUCACGUCGGAUGUGAAAAUCUGGGGCUUAACCCCAGACCUGCAUUCGAUACGGGCGAGCUUGAGUAUGGUGGGGGAGUCUGGAAUUCCUGGUGUAGCGGUGGAAUGCGCAGAUAUCAGGAGGAACACCAAUGGCGAAGGCAGGACUCUGGGCCAUUACUGACACUGAGGAGCGAAAGCGUGGGGAGCGAACAGGAUUAGAUACCCUGGUAGUCCACGCCGUAAACGGUGGGCACUAGUUGUGGGGACCUUCCACGGUCUCUGCGACGCAGCUAACGCAUUAAGUGCCCCGCCUGGGGAGACGAGCGCGAGAGUAAACUACAAUUAGAGUAGUUACGGCGUGAGACGNGCCGACGGACGACGACGAGGGAGGAGG
This 606-nucleotide ribosomal RNA is filed under the name uncultured bacterium. RNAcentral describes it as "bacterial SSU rRNA". The stretch from base 1 to 524 matches the Rfam family "Bacterial small subunit ribosomal RNA", at positions 338 to 873 of the family's 1533-position model. The record is from RNAcentral.